RNAcentral lists this ribosomal RNA (110 nucleotides) under Bacillus subtilis. RNAcentral describes it as "partial 23S ribosomal RNA". It matches the Rfam family "Bacterial large subunit ribosomal RNA", at positions 2819 to 2925 of the family's 2925-position model. The record is from RNAcentral. Lineage: Bacteria; Bacillati; Bacillota; Bacilli; Caryophanales; Bacillaceae.
CGCAAGGAAGUAAGAUCCCUGAAAGAUGAUCAGGUUGAUAGGUCUGAGGUGGAAGUGUGGCGACACAUGGAGCUGACAGAUACUAAUCGAUCGAGGACUUAACCAUAUUU